GCAUGUCAAGGUAAUCAAACUACUAAGCCUAUCUAGUAGUGAUAGUCAUUUCCCGGUUCAAUGUCAUUAUUUCCAACAUGUUCUAGGACCUACAUAGUGUAGUCCAGCUUGUGCCACCUAAGUGUCGGUGGUAGUUCCAGCAUUCCCACUCUACGAAUGAGUUUAUCCCUCCCGACCCCGUAGGUUUCUCGAUAUCGCACGAGCGAACAUAAGUCGCGUAGGCCAAC
RNAcentral lists this long non-coding RNA (227 nucleotides) under Ananas comosus (pineapple). Its description in RNAcentral is "long non-coding RNA (ACOM_LNC038754)". Lineage: Eukaryota; Viridiplantae; Streptophyta; Magnoliopsida; Poales; Bromeliaceae. The record is from RNAcentral.